This 538-nucleotide ribosomal RNA is filed under the name uncultured bacterium. Its description in RNAcentral is "bacterial SSU rRNA". It matches the Rfam family "Bacterial small subunit ribosomal RNA", at positions 812 to 1351 of the family's 1533-position model. The record is from RNAcentral.
AAUGCUGGUUUGUCCGGGUCGAAUGAGACCUGGGCGGCGAAGCGAAAGCGAUAAGCAUUCCACCUGGGGAGUACGCCGGCAACGGUGAAACUCAAAGGAAUUGACGGGGGCCCGCACAAGCGGAGGAACAUGUGGUUUAAUUCGAUGAUACGCGAGGAACCUUACCCGGGCUCAAACGGGAGUGGAAUGGACCAGAGACGGUUCAGCCUACGGGCCGCUUCCGAGGUGCUGCAUGGUUGUCGUCAGCUCGUGCCGUGAGGUGUCGGCUUAAGUGCCAUAACGAGCGCAACCCCCGCCGGCAGUUGCUAACGGGCAAUGCCGAGGACUCUGCCGGGACUGCCGCCGCAAGGCGUGAGGAAGGCGGGGAUGACGUCAAAUCAGCACGGCCCUUACGUCCGGGGCGACACACGUGUUACAAUGGGCGGUACAGCGGGAAGCCAGGCGGCGACGCCGAGCGGAACCCGAAAGCCGUUCUCAGUUCGAAUCGGAGUCUGCAACCCGACUCCGUGAAGCUGGAUUCGCUAGUAAUCGCGCAUCA